Molecule: non-coding RNA, 135 nt
Organism: Hordeum vulgare subsp. vulgare (domesticated barley)
Lineage: Eukaryota; Viridiplantae; Streptophyta; Magnoliopsida; Poales; Poaceae
Source: Rfam
AAUGUACUCCCUCUGUCCCAAAAUUCUUGUCUUAGAUUUGUCAAAAUACGAAUGUAUCUAGUUGUGUUUUAGUGUUAGAUAAAUUUAAAUCUACACAAAUCUAAGACGAGAAUUUUGGGACGGAGGAAGUACUCA